This 253-nucleotide ribosomal RNA is filed under the name Verrucomicrobiota bacterium. RNAcentral's name for it is "partial 16S ribosomal RNA". It matches the Rfam family "Bacterial small subunit ribosomal RNA", at positions 524 to 776 of the family's 1533-position model. Lineage: Bacteria; Pseudomonadati; Verrucomicrobiota. The record is from RNAcentral. RNAcentral also lists the same sequence under 1 other name.
UACGGGGGGGGCAAGCGUUGUUCGGAUUCAUUGGGCGUAAAGGGUGCGUAGGCGGCGCGGUAAGUCGGGUGUGAAAUCUUGGAGCUUAACUCCGAAACUGCAUUCGAUACUGCCGUGCUUGAGGACUGGAGAGGAGACUGGAAUUUACGGUGUAGCGGUGAAAUGCGUAGAUAUCGUAAGGAAGACCAGUGGCGAAGGCGGGUCUCUGGACAGUUCCUGACGCUGAGGCACGAAGGCCAGGGGAGCAAACGGG